RNAcentral lists this ribosomal RNA (450 nucleotides) under uncultured bacterium. RNAcentral describes it as "partial 16S ribosomal RNA". It matches the Rfam family "Bacterial small subunit ribosomal RNA", at positions 354 to 796 of the family's 1533-position model. The record is from RNAcentral.
GUGGGGAAUAUUGGACAAUGGGCGAAAGCCUGAUCCAGCCAUGCCGCGUGUGUGAAGAAGGUCUUCGGAUUGUAAAGCACUUUAAGUUGGGAGGAAGGGUAGUAACCUAAUACGUUGCUACUUUGACGUUACCGACAGAAUAAGCACCGGCUAACUUCGUGCCAGCAGCCGCGGUAAUACGAAGGGUGCAAGCGUUAAUCGGAAUUACUGGGCGUAAAGCGCGCGUAGGUGGUUCAGCAAGUUGGAUGUGAAAGCCCCGGGCUCAACCUGGGAACUGCAUACAAAACUACUGAGCUAGAGUACGGUAGAGGGUGGUGGAAUUUCCUGUGUAGCGGUGAAAUGCGUAGAUAUAGGAAGGAACACCAGUGGCGAAGGCGACCACCUGGACUGAUACUGACACUGAGGUGCGAAAGCGUGGGGAGCAAACAGGAUUAGAUACCCGUGUAGUCC